This 2260-nucleotide long non-coding RNA is filed under the name Sorghum bicolor (sorghum). Its description in RNAcentral is "long non-coding RNA (SBIC_LNC002076)". Lineage: Eukaryota; Viridiplantae; Streptophyta; Magnoliopsida; Poales; Poaceae. The record is from RNAcentral.
GUAGUAGGAAGUAGACGAUCUCGCCGAUUCCAGGUAGCGAGCAGUUGCGGAAGACGCUCUCUAAAAACCUGAUUGCCCGCACACCCGAGCAGGUGUCUCGAUGCAAGGUGCCGGGUUCCAGAGGCCUGCUCUCUCGAUCUCUGUGCGUGCAUAGGUUCGGGACGGGGAUGAACCAGAGCAACUCGAAGGGAGAUGAGAGUAACGGCUCGGCUCGGCGGCGGCGGCGGCGCGCGCGUGUUGCACCCUCUUUCUCUUCCUCAACUUCUCUAUAGGAGCUAUCAAUGGCCGCCUAUUUAAGUUGAGUUAACACAUGGUCAACAAUCAAACCGGUAUUAAACCGUUUUCAUUAUAGCAUUUAUUAUGUGUCUUUGAAUUAAUCAUCAAAUAAAAUAUGGGCUAAAGGCCCACAUUAUAUUCAACAACUAUCCAAAUUAGUGUUCAUAUUUGUUCGGUUGAACGGAUAGACGAAUAAAUAUUCGUACCACUUUUAUCUCUACCUGUCGCUGAAGCGGAAGCAGCAGAGCCAGAGUGCCCGACGACGACGAGAAGGAGGCCGAGCCGGCGGCAGCAGCAGGCGCUGUCAUGUCUCAUAUGCAAUGAGCUCCUCCAUCAUCAUAUAAUCACCUGUGGACUAAUCUCCUGUGUAUCUCACAUUAACACUAUUAGUCCACCUAAGUUGUCACUCAAUUACCAAAACCAAACAAGUACCUUUCACUCUCCUGCACUCGUAGUCUCCACUCGCCUGUCACCCCUCCUCUCUCCUGACUCGCCUCUGUGGCCCCUAGUGCCAAGUCGUUGACGGUGGCCACCUCCUCACCCGAUCACCUCCUACGCUAGGGCCGACUUCCAGUGUGACGUUGGGUCUGCUCUGUGCAGAUCUUGCAUCGUCCUCCGCAGAUCUAGCCUCCUCAUCACUCGUCCUCCACGAAUCCAGCCAAGUUGGAGCUCCUUGAGGAUGGUCGCCAGCCUUUGGAACCAAAUAUGAGAGAUUAGUUGUGCUUUACGGGCCAACUCGGCCUGAAAAUCGACCCACCAAGCUGUGCUUGGGACGCAGGCUAGGCACGAGACCUACUGGGGCACGGGCCGCCAGGCACGGAGUGCCUUGUCGGCCCGACCCCCAUUAGGCCGUGUCGCCUCGGCCUGGCCCGUUACCCAUCUAUAGAUAGUGUGUUGCACUGAAGCUAGAGUUGACAAAUCGAGUUAUUAGUAGACGUAGUAUUCACCCAGAACCUUGCUGAUUGACACAAGAUUUUUGCACAGAUGCGUGAUUCGUGAGAAGAUUUACCUUCACCUUUCAUUGUUUUUUCUUUUUUCUUUUUUUUUAGAAAAUUCACCUUGCAUUGUUGUACGUGUUCUAUAGCCAGCCCGUUGUUUGUGGGUAAGGAUAGAGACGAUGCUCCAAAUGGAUACCCACGGUUCUUCUCUAGUAUAAUUAAAUGAACUAAAUAAAUAAUUUCUUUUCUUAUUUUUUAUGAGAGAAUUAUUUCCUUGGCCCUAAAAAAAGUAUCUCAUAGUUUCUUAGCCUUUUUUGGUCGAACUUAGUUAUUUGGCCUAGAUUUGAGUUUUGCUUGGCUUUAUGACCCUUCCGUUAGUUUGAUGAGCUAACAGAGUUAAGUAGUACACGAUGGGUUUUCAGAUGGCUGAAUAUCAAUAAUUUCACAAUAUGGUCCGCAAUAAUUUUUUGAAGCAUGGGAUCACUAUUAUAUAAUUUCACAAUAUGGUCCGCAAUAUUCAAAAAAUUAUUGCAAACCAUAUUAUAAAAUUAUUGAUAUUAAGCCAUUUGAUAAAACCCGUACAAUGCAUAUGUAGGCUAUUGCUCUUUUUCAUUCAGCGACAGGGGAAAAAUAGUCAUUUCGUUCACUCUGGGCACGAAAAAACCGAUAACCGAGAACCGAACCAAAAUAACCGGGAACUGAACCGAAAUAACCAAACCGGACGGUUUCUGGUUUCAAAUUCGGUUCCAGAAUCCCAGGAACCGAAUUUAGUAAUUCGGUUAUUUCGGUUCUACCCCUCAGUUAACCGAAUUGACCCAUAAAUAACCGAAUUGUGUGCAGCCCAUAUGUUUAGAUUUUUAGACACUAAAAAAAUCAGCCAUUAGCUGGCCCAAUAGCACUCAUUCACCCUCAACUCUAGCCACCCGUCACCGUCAGUCCGUCACCCUCACCUAGGCCGCUUCAGCGCUUCCUCCCGAAAUGCGUCGCGUCGCAAGCGCUAGGGCGCUAGGUGACUGCCGAAGUGGCGAGUCCAGCGCCGUCGCCGU